GACCGAUAGUGAACCAGUACCGUGAGGGAAAGGCGAAAAGAACCCCGGCGAGGGGAGUGAAAAAGAACCUGAAACCGUGUACGUACAAGCAGUGGGAGCACGCUUAGGCGUGUGACUGCGUACCUUUUGUAUAAUGGGUCAGCGACUUAUAUUCUGUAGCAAGGUUAACCGAAUAGGGGAGCCGAAGGGAAACCGAGUCUUAACUGGGCGUUAAGUUGCAGGGUAUAGACCCGAAACCCGGUGAUCUAGCCAUGGGCAGGUUGAAGGUUGGGUAACACUAACUGGAGGACCGAACCGACUAAUGUUGAAAAAUUAGCGGAUGACUUGUGGCUGGGGGUGAAAGGCCAAUCAAACCGGGAGAUAGCUGGUUCUCCCCGAAAGCUAUUUAGGUAGCGCCUCGUGAAUUCAUCUCCGGGGGUAGAGCACUGUUUCGGCAAGGGGGUCAUCCCGACUUACCAACCCGAUGCAAACUGCGAAUACCGGAGAAUGUUAUCACGGGAGACACACGGCGGGUGCUAACGUCCGUCGUGAAGAGGGAAACAACCCAGACCGCCAGCUAAGGUCCCAAAGUCAUGGUUAAGUGGGAAACGAUGUGGGAAGGCCCAGACAGCCAGGAUGUUGGCUUAGAAGCAGCCAUCAUUUAAAGAAAGCGUAAUAGCUCACUGGUCGAGUCGGCCUGCGCGGAAGAUGUAACGGGGCUAAACCAUG
RNAcentral lists this ribosomal RNA (708 nucleotides) under Escherichia coli. RNAcentral's name for it is "partial 23S ribosomal RNA". It matches the Rfam family "Bacterial large subunit ribosomal RNA", at positions 482 to 1191 of the family's 2925-position model. Lineage: Bacteria; Pseudomonadati; Pseudomonadota; Gammaproteobacteria; Enterobacterales; Enterobacteriaceae. The record is from RNAcentral.